ACGCUGGCGGCAGGCCUAACACAUGCAAGUCGAGCGGUAGCACAGGAGAGCUUGCUCUCUGGGUGACGAGCGGCGGACGGGUGAGUAAUGUCUGGGAAACUGCCUGAUGGAGGGGGAUAACUACUGGAAACGGUAGCUAAUACCGCAUGACCUCGCAAGAGCAAAGUGGGGGACCUUCGGGCCUCACGCCAUCGGAUGUGCCCAGAUGGGAUUAGCUAGUAGGUGGGGUAAUGGCUCACCUAGGCGACGAUCCCUAGCUGGUCUGAGAGGAUGACCAGCCACACUGGAACUGAGACACGGUCCAGACUCCUACGGGAGGCAGCAGUGGGGAAUAUUGCACAAUGGGCGCAAGCCUGAUGCAGCCAUGCCGCGUGUGUGAAGAAGGCCUUAGGGUUGUAAAGCACUUUCAGCGAGGAGGAAGGGUUCAGUGUUAAUAGCACUGAGCAUUGACGUUACUCGCAGAAGAAGCACCGGCUAACUCCGUGCCAGCAGCCGCGGUAAUACGGAGGGUGCAAGCGUUAAUCGGAAUUACUGGGCGUAAAGCGCACGCAGGCGGUUUGUUAAGUCAGAUGUGAAAUCCCCGAGCUUAACUUGGGAACUGCAUUUGAAACUGGCAAGCUAGAGUCUUGUAGAGGGGGGUAGAAUUCCAGGUGUAGCGGUGAAAUGCGUAGAGAUCUGGAGGAAUACCGGUGGCGAAGGCGGCCCCCUGGACAAAGACUGACGCUCAGGUGCGAAAGCGUGGGGAGC
Molecule: ribosomal RNA, 747 nt
Filed under: uncultured bacterium
Lineage: Bacteria
Description: bacterial SSU rRNA
Rfam family: Bacterial small subunit ribosomal RNA
Source: RNAcentral